UAGAGAGAGACAUGCGCGCAUAUCAAUAAGCGGAGGAAAAGAAACUAACAAGGAUUCCCCUAGUAACGGCGAGUGAAGCGGGAAGAGCUCAAAUUUGAAAUCUUAAAGGGUUUCCCUUUACGAAUUGUAGUUUAAAGAAGUGUUUUCUGUUGAGGUUUUGGUAAAAGUUCUUUGGAAUAGGACAUCAUAGAGGGUGAGAAUCCCGUAUUUGACCUUUACUUUCAACUUUGUGAUACACUUUCAAAGAGUCGGAUUGUUUGGGAAUGCAGUCCAAAAUGGGUGGUAAAUUUCAUCUAAAGCUAAAUAUUGGCGAGAGACCGAUAGCGAACAAGUACCGUGAGGGAAAGAUGAAAAGAACUUUGAAAAGAGAGUUAAACAGUACGUGAAAUUGUCAAAAGGGAAGCGUUUGACACCAGUGUUGUUUUUCUGAAAAUCAAUUAAAGAACUGUUUAUGCUAAGCUGUUUAGACUUUAUCAGCUAAUCUGUUUAGUUUUGAGCUUUUCUUUAAUGCACUUUUCAGUUAACAAGUCAACAUCAAUUUCUUUUGCUGUAAAAAAGCUUGAGGAAGGUGGCUUGAGAUUCGUCUUAAGUGUUUAUAGCCUCUUGCCUAUGCAGUCGGAGAGAUUGAGGUCUGCAGCGUAGAUCCUUCGGGGCUAAAUGCAUUUGUGCUAAGUUAUAGCAUUUUAUAGACAACUUGUUGACUAUGAUUUGUCUUGUAGCUUACUCGCUUAUGUUAUUUUACCUACGCUUAGGAUGUUGACGCAUGAGAUAUACGC
This 776-nucleotide ribosomal RNA is filed under the name uncultured Neocallimastigales. RNAcentral's name for it is "partial large subunit ribosomal RNA". It matches the Rfam family "Eukaryotic large subunit ribosomal RNA", at positions 23 to 647 of the family's 3401-position model. Lineage: Eukaryota; Fungi; Neocallimastigomycota; Neocallimastigomycetes; Neocallimastigales. The record is from RNAcentral.